This 273-nucleotide ribosomal RNA is filed under the name uncultured bacterium. Its description in RNAcentral is "partial 16S ribosomal RNA". It matches the Rfam family "Bacterial small subunit ribosomal RNA", at positions 524 to 796 of the family's 1533-position model. The record is from RNAcentral.
UACGGAGGGUGCAAGCGUUAUCCGGAUUCACUGGGUUUAAAGGGUGCGUAGGUGGCUUUGUAAGUCAGUGGUGAAAUCUCGGAGCUUAACUCCGAAACUGCCAUUGAUACUGCUUAGCUUGAAUCAAGUAGAGGUGGAUGGAAUAUUACAUGUAGCGGUGAAAUGCUUAGAUAUGUAAUAGAACACCGAUUGCGAAGGCAGUUCACUAUGCUUGUAUUGACACUGAGGCACGAAAGCGUGGGGAUCAAACAGGAUUAGAAACCCCCGUAGUCC